GUGGGGAAUAUUGGGCAAUGGGCGCAAGCCUGACCCAGCAACGCCGCGUGAAGGAAGAAGGCCCUCGGGUUGUAAACUUCUUUUAACAGGGACGAAACAAAUGACGGUACCUGUUGAAUAAGCCACGGCUAACUACGUGCCAGCAGCCGCGGUAAUACGUAGGUGGCAAGCGUUAUCCGGAUUUACUGGGUGUAAAGGGCGUGUAGGCGGGUCUGCAAGUCAGAUGUGAAAUUUCAGGGCUCAACCCUGAACCUGCAUUUGAAACUGUAGAUCUUGAGUGAUGGAGAGGCAGGCGGAAUUCCGUGUGUAGCGGUGAAAUGCGUAGAUAUACGGAGGAACACCAGUGGCGAAGGCGGCCUGCUGGACAUUAACUGACGCUGAGGCGCGAAAGCGUGGGGAGCAAACAGG
RNAcentral lists this ribosomal RNA (408 nucleotides) under uncultured bacterium. RNAcentral's name for it is "bacterial SSU rRNA". It matches the Rfam family "Bacterial small subunit ribosomal RNA", at positions 354 to 776 of the family's 1533-position model. The record is from RNAcentral.